This 72-nucleotide transfer RNA is filed under the name Camelus ferus (Wild Bactrian camel). It matches the Rfam family "tRNA". From Rfam's summary of the family: Transfer RNA (tRNA) molecules are approximately 80 nucleotides in length. Their secondary structure includes four short double-helical elements and three loops (D, anti-codon, and T loops). Lineage: Eukaryota; Metazoa; Chordata; Mammalia; Artiodactyla; Camelidae. The record is from Rfam by way of RNAcentral.
GAGGGUAUAGUUCAGUGAUGGUGCACGUGCUUAGUGUGCACGAGGUCCUGGGUUCAAUCCCCAGUAACUCCA